AUGCUGCCUAUUGAUCUCUUCCAGGCAAGUCUCUUCCUUGAUGAGGAGGACCCCCUUGAUACCCAGGUCCACCUUGCUCGUAGUUGCGGGCACCUCCUUGAUAACCAGAGCUGCCUGAUGGGGAGCCAGAGAAGCCACCUUGAUAAGGUGGAUUGCCUCCCUGAUAACCAAGGUUGCCUGACGGGGAGACAGAGAAGCCACCUUGAUAAGGUGGAUUGCCUCCCUGGUAACCAGGGCUGCCUGACGGGGAGCCAGAGAAGCCACCUUGAUGAGGUGGAUUGCCUCCCUGAUAACCAGGGCCACCUCCUUGAUAACCACCAGGACGGCUUCCCUGAUAACCAGGCCGUCCUGCUUGAUAACCAGGACCACCUGGCAUAUUGCCUCCAGGGUCACCACCCCGGUAUCCUUGACCACCACCUUGAUAACCCGGACCUUCUGGAUAGCCUUGACCAGUUCCUUGAUAGCUAGGUCCAGCAUUUGGUGGCCCAUAGCUGCUGCUCCUGUUAGGUAUUUGAUUCUGGUAGUUUGGUGCAUUAGGUGGCAUGGCAUUGAAAUCACGGGUAGGCCCUGCAGAAACAUCUCUUGGAGGCAUCGGAUUUUGAACAUUUGGUGGCAUGGCACUCUGUGUAUCACGAUUCCGGAACUCCUGGUUUGGCACUGGUGGUGCUUCUCUAUUCUGGAAGUUCUGCAUGUUUUCCCUUCUUCUCUCAAAAUUUCUCGACCGAUCAAAAUUGCGAGGCCUGUCAUUCCGCC
RNAcentral lists this long non-coding RNA (753 nucleotides) under Musa acuminata (dwarf banana). RNAcentral describes it as "long non-coding RNA (MACU_LNC003101)". Lineage: Eukaryota; Viridiplantae; Streptophyta; Magnoliopsida; Zingiberales; Musaceae. The record is from RNAcentral.